RNAcentral lists this ribosomal RNA (497 nucleotides) under uncultured bacterium. RNAcentral's name for it is "partial 16S ribosomal RNA". It matches the Rfam family "Bacterial small subunit ribosomal RNA", at positions 28 to 507 of the family's 1533-position model. The record is from RNAcentral.
GAUGAACGCUGGCGGCGUGCCUAAUACAUGCAAGUCGAGCGAACAGGCGAGGAGCUUGCUCUUCUGACGUUAGCGGCGGACGGGUGAGUAACACGUGGAUAACCUACCUAUAAGACUGGGAUAACUUCGGGAAACCGGAGCUAAUACCGGAUAAUAUAUUGAACCGCAUGGUUCAAUAGUGAAAGACGGUUUUGCUGUCACUUAUAGAUGGAUCCGCGCCGCAUUAGCUAGUUGGUAAGGUAACGGCUUACCAAGGCAACGAUGCGUAGCCGACCUGAGAGGGUGAUCGGCCACACUGGAACUGAGACACGGUCCAGACUCCUACGGGAGGCAGCAGUAGGGAAUCUUCCGCAAUGGGCGAAAGCUUGACGGAGCAACGCCGCGUGAGUGAUGAAGGUCUUCGGAUCGUAAAACUCUGUUAUUAGGGAAGAACAAAUGUGUAAGUAACUAUGCACGUCUUGACGGUACCUAAUCAGAAAGCCACGGCUAACUACGUG